This 459-nucleotide ribosomal RNA is filed under the name uncultured bacterium. RNAcentral describes it as "partial 16S ribosomal RNA". It matches the Rfam family "Bacterial small subunit ribosomal RNA", at positions 338 to 795 of the family's 1533-position model. The record is from RNAcentral.
CCUACGGGAGGCAGCAGUGAGGAAUAUUGGUCAAUGGUCGGGAGACUGAACCAGCCAAGCCGCGUGAGGGAGGAAGGUACAGAGUAUCGUAAACCUCUUUUGUCAGGGAACAAAGGCGGGGACGUGUCCCCGGAUGAGUGUACCUGAAGAAAAAGCAUCGGCUAACUCCGUGCCAGCAGCCGCGGUAAUACGGAGGAUGCGAGCGUUAUCCGGAUUUAUUGGGUUUAAAGGGUGGGCAGGCGGUCUGUUAAGUCAGCGGUAAAAGCCCGGGGCUCAACCCCGGCCCGCCGUUGACACUGGCAGUCUCGAGUUGGAGAGAAGUAUGCGGAAUGCGCGGUGUAGCGGUGAAAUGCAUAGAUAUCGCGCAGAACUCCGAUUGCGAAGGCAGCAUGCCGGCUCCACACUGACGCUGAGGCACGAAAGCGUGGGUAUCGAACAGGAUUAGAUACCCCUGUAGUC